UGGGGAAUAUUGCACAAUGGGCGAAAGCCUGAUGCAGCUAUGCCGCGUGUAUGAAGAAGGCCUUAGGGUUGUAAAGUACUUUCAGCAGGGAGGAAAAAAAUAAAACUAAUAAUUUUAAUUCGUGACGUUACCUGCAGAAGAAGCACCGGCUAACUCCGUGCCAGCAGCCGCGGUAAUACGGAGGGUGCAAGCGUUAAUCAGAAUUACUGGGCGUAAAGAGCGCGUAGGUGGUUUUUUAAGUCAGAUGUGAAAGCCCUAGGCUCAACCUAGGAACUGCAUUUGAAACUGAAAAGCUAGAGUCUCGUAGAGGGAGGUAGAAUUCUAGGUGUAGCGGUGAAAUGCGUAGAUAUCUGGAGGAAUACCUGUGGCGAAAGCGGCCUCCUAAACGAAUACUGACACUGAGGUGCGAAAGCGUGGGGAGCAAACA
RNAcentral lists this ribosomal RNA (427 nucleotides) under uncultured bacterium. RNAcentral's name for it is "bacterial SSU rRNA". It matches the Rfam family "Bacterial small subunit ribosomal RNA", at positions 355 to 774 of the family's 1533-position model. RNAcentral also lists the same sequence under 1 other name. The record is from RNAcentral.